This 1344-nucleotide ribosomal RNA is filed under the name Dunaliella tertiolecta. RNAcentral's name for it is "16S ribosomal RNA". It matches the Rfam family "Bacterial small subunit ribosomal RNA", at positions 1 to 1377 of the family's 1533-position model. Lineage: Eukaryota; Viridiplantae; Chlorophyta; Chlorophyceae; Chlamydomonadales; Dunaliellaceae. The record is from RNAcentral.
UAUCAAUGGAGAGUUUGAUCCUGGCUCAGGAUGAACGCUGGCGGUAUGCUUAACACAUGCAAGUCGUACGGGAAAGAUUUCUAUUUUUCCUAGUGGCGGACGGGUGCGUAACACGUAAGAACCUACCUUUUGGAGGGGGAUAACAUCGGGAAACUGAUGCUAAUACCCCGUAAUAGCUGAGGAGUGAAAGCGGUUUUCCGCGCCAAGAGAGGGGCUUGCGGCUGAUUAGCUAGUUGGUGGGGGUAAAGGCCUCCCAAGGCCACGAUCAGUAGCUGGUUUGAGAGGACGAUCAGCCACACUGGGACUGAGACACGGCCCAGACUCCUACGGGAGGCAGCAGUGAGGAAUUUUCCACAAUGGGCGAAAGCCUGAUGGAGCAAUACCGCGUGGGGGAUGAAGGUUCGUGGAUCGUAAACCCCUUUUCUCAGAGAAGAAGAUCUGACGGUAUCUGAGGAAUAAGCUCCGGCUAACUCUGUGCCAGCAGCCGCGGUAAUACAGGGGGAGCAAGCGUUAUCCGGAAUGAUUGGGCGUAAAGCGUCUGUAGGUGGUUCUUUAAGUCUACUGUCAAAUACGUUGGCUCAACCAACGGCAGGCAGUGGAGUACUAAAGAACUAGAGUGCGGUAGAGGUAGAGGGAAUCCCUAGCGUAACAGUGAAAUGUGUAGAUUUUAGGGAGAACACCAGCGGCGAAGGCGCUCUACUGGGCCGAUACUGACACUGAGAGACGAAAGCUAGAGGAGCGAAUAGGAUUAGAUACCCUAGUAGUUCUAGCUGUAAACGAUGGAAACUAAGAGGGGGUAACCCCCUUCUGUAGCUAACGCGUUAAGUUUCCCGCCUGGGGAGUAUGCUCGCAAGAGUGAAACUCAAAGGAAUUGACGGGAGACCACACAAUAGGUGGAUUAUGCGGUUUAAUUUGAUGCAACGCAAAGAACCUUACCAGGGUUUGACAUGUCUAGAAUUUUUCAGAAAUGGAAAAGUGCUUCCUUUUUAUGAAAGGAAGAACUAGAACACAGGUGGUGCAUGGCUGUCGUCAGCUCGUGCGUUGACGUGUAUGGUUAAGUCCUGCAACGAGCGCAACCCUCGUCUUUAGUUACUUUCCAAGUUCUCUAAAGAGACUGCGCGCGCAAGCGCUGAGGAAGGUGAGGAUGACGUCAAGUCAGCAUGCCCCUUACACCCUGGGCGACACGCGUAAUACAAUGGUUGGGACAAUCAGAAGCUACCCCGCAAGGGCACGCCAAUCUGCUAAACUCAACCCUAGUUCGGAUUGUAGGCUGCAACUCGCCUACAUGAAGCCGGAAUCUAUAGUAAUCGCCAGUCAGCUAUAUGGCGGUGAAUACGUUCCUGG